CUAAAUUAGUCAAAUCCUCAAGGUGUGAUCACUUAAUUCGACAUCUGGCAUACAAGUAUUUAUCAUCACCCUGCAUUACAGAUUCGAUUGUCAUCCUCUCUCUUCUCACGUGACCCUGAGAUUGCUUACAUUGCAUCCAGACUUACACCUGUUGCCACACAAGUCUGCAAGUCUUGCUUCUAUUUUUUC
This 189-nucleotide long non-coding RNA is filed under the name Cavia porcellus (domestic guinea pig). Its description in RNAcentral is "lncRNA (ENSCPOG00000035213.1)". Lineage: Eukaryota; Metazoa; Chordata; Mammalia; Rodentia; Caviidae. The record is from RNAcentral.